UACGGAGGGUGCAAGCGUUAAUCGGAAUUACUGGGCGUAAAGCGCACGUAGGCGGUUUGUUAAGUCAGAUGUGAAAUCCCCGGGCUCAACCUGGGAACUGCAUUUGAUACUGGCUAGCUUGAGUACGGUAGAGGGGGGUGGAAUUCCGGGUGUAGCGGUGAAAUGCGUAGAGAUGCGGAGGAACACCGGUGGCGAAGGCGGCCCCCUGGACCAAUACUGACGCUCAGGUGCGAAAGCGUGGGGAGCAAACAGG
This 253-nucleotide ribosomal RNA is filed under the name uncultured bacterium. RNAcentral's name for it is "partial 16S ribosomal RNA". It matches the Rfam family "Bacterial small subunit ribosomal RNA", at positions 524 to 776 of the family's 1533-position model. The record is from RNAcentral.